GUAGGUGAACCUGCGGAAGGAUCAUUAUUGAAUCCUCAGGAUGUCGCUGGCUCUUGCAAGGGAGCAUGUGCACUCCGCCUUCAAUCCACCUGUGCACUUAUUGUAGGUCAAAGGGGCAACCCUUUGCCUAUGCUUUUUCACACACACUUUUAAAGUACCAGAAUGUAACACAGUAGACCUUCAGGUCGAAAUAACAAUACAACUUUCAACAACGGAUCUCUUGGUUCUCGCAUCGAUGAAGAACGCAGCA
RNAcentral lists this unclassified non-coding RNA (250 nucleotides) under plant metagenome. Its description in RNAcentral is "partial contains small subunit ribosomal RNA, internal transcribed spacer 1, and 5.8S ribosomal RNA". The stretch from base 201 to 250 matches the Rfam family "5.8S ribosomal RNA", at positions 1 to 50 of the family's 154-position model. The record is from RNAcentral.